This 871-nucleotide ribosomal RNA is filed under the name actinomycete PtR. Its description in RNAcentral is "bacterial SSU rRNA". It matches the Rfam family "Bacterial small subunit ribosomal RNA", at positions 9 to 873 of the family's 1533-position model. The record is from RNAcentral. Lineage: Bacteria; Bacillati; Actinomycetota; Actinomycetes; Actinomycetales.
UGAGUUUUGAUCCUGGCUCAGGACGAACGCUGGCGGCGUGCUUAACACAUGCAAGUCGAACGAUGAACCACUUCGGUGGGGAUUAGUGGCGAACGGGUGAGUAACACGUGGGCAAUCUGCCCUGCACUCUGGGACAAGCCCUGGAAACGGGGUCUAAUACCGGAUACUGAUCCGCUUGGGCAUCCAAGUGGUUCGAAAGCUCCGGCGGUGCAGGAUGAGCCCGCGGCCUAUCAGCUUGUUGGUGAGGUAAUGGCUCACCAAGGCGACGACGGGUAGCCGGCCUGAGAGGGCGACCGGCCACACUGGGACUGAGACACGGCCCAGACUCCUACGGGAGGCAGCAGUGGGGAAUAUUGCACAAUGGGCGAAAGCCUGAUGCAGCGACGCCGCGUGAGGGAUGACGGCCUUCGGGUUGUAAACCUCUUUCAGCAGGGAAGAAGCGAGAGUGACGGUACCUGCAGAAGAAGCGCCGGCUAACUACGUGCCAGCAGCCGCGGUAAUACGUAGGGCGCAAGCGUUGUCCGGAAUUAUUGGGCGUAAAGAGCUCGUAGGCGGCUUGUCACGUCGGUUGUGAAAGCCCGGGGCUUAACCCCGGGUCUGCAGUCGAUACGGGCAGGCUAGAGUUCGGUAGGGGAGAUCGGAAUUCCUGGUGUAGCGGUGAAAUGCGCAGAUAUCAGGAGGAACACCGGUGGCGAAGGCGGAUCUCUGGGCCGAUACUGACGCUGAGGAGCGAAAGCGUGGGGAGCGAACAGGAUUAGAUACCCUGGUAGUCCACGCCGUAAACGGUGGGCACUAGGUGUGGGCAACAUUCCACGUUGUCCGUGCCGCAGCUAACGCAUUAAGUGCCCCGCCGGGGAGACGGCGCAAGGAU